This 377-nucleotide ribosomal RNA is filed under the name uncultured delta proteobacterium. RNAcentral describes it as "bacterial SSU rRNA". It matches the Rfam family "Bacterial small subunit ribosomal RNA", at positions 521 to 896 of the family's 1533-position model. The record is from RNAcentral. Lineage: Bacteria; Deltaproteobacteria.
UAAUACGGAGGGUGCAAGCGUUAUUCGGAAUUAUUGGGCGUAAAGGGCGCGUAGGCGGCCUCUUAAGUCAGAUGUGAAAGCCCGGGGCUUAACCCCGGAAGUGCAUUUGAAACUAAGGGGCUUGAGUAUGGGAGAGGGAAGUGGAAUUCCUGGUGUAGCGGUGAAAUGCGUAGAUAUCAGGAGGAACACCGGUGGCGAAGGCGACUUCCUGGACCAAUACUGACGCUGAGGCGCGAAGGCGUGGGGAGCAAACAGGAUUAGAUACCCUGGUAGUCCACGCAGUAAACGGUGAACACUAGGUGUAGCGGGUAUUGACCCCUGCUGUGCCGCAGCUAACGCAUUAAGUGUUCCGCCUGGGGAGUACGAUCGCAAGAUUA